Molecule: RNA transcript, 8297 nt
Organism: Mus musculus (house mouse)
Lineage: Eukaryota; Metazoa; Chordata; Mammalia; Rodentia; Muridae
Gene: Mdga1
Gene name: MAM domain containing glycosylphosphatidylinositol anchor 1
Exons: 17
Source: RefSeq, marked validated
GCAGCACAGCGAAGCCCAAGUUAGGGAGCGAGCGGAGCGCUCCCGCGGCCCCGGAGCCGGAGUGGCCGCGGUGCCCCGGAGCCCGCCCGGCCCCGCCCGCUGGGGCCCUCUCGGGCCCAGGCCGCCGGGAGGGGGGCGGGGACGCCCAACUUGGGGCGCGGCGCAGCCCCGCUCUCCCGAGAUCGCGGAGCCCGGGAAUGCCACGGCGGCGGCCAGACGGCGGGAGAGGAGCGGGGAGAGAGGAGGCGGCCAGCAGCUCCUGAGCCCGGGCCUCCGCAAGAGCGCGAAUUAUUUUCAAAGGACUCAAACUUUCCUCUUUCCCUUGCUGGCUGCGGUCCCUCUUGCUUUGGAACCGUUCUCUGGAUUCCCGCGGGGGCGCCGGGACGCGAUCGCCUCCCCCGGAUUCCUCGGCGGCGGCUCGGCUAACUUCGCGGACUCGGGGACCCGGAGCGCUCGCCCCGCUGCCGAACCUAGUCCUCGCUGCUCCAGCGCUCCAGAGGACCGGGACCCGGCGCCCUCGCCUCCGGGAAGGGCGCCCAGCCCGGCUCCCUUGGGUCGGGCUGCGGAGCCCUCCACACCUACUGCAGGACUGGAGCCAGCGGAUUAACCAAAGCAGAGUCCGGGCCUCCUGGCCUGGCUCCGCGGAGGGGCGUCCCCUGGGCGGGGAAAAGACAAGUUUGUCAGGCAUCGGUGGCCUGUUGGAUCGGAGCGCGGCCGCCGCAGCAGAGAGGUCCCCCCGCGUUCAGCACCCUCGGUGGACAGCCCUGGGGACCUAGGACUGCUCGGUGGCCGAGCUUUCUGGGCCAGGGAGCUGGCUGCUGCGCCCGGUGCGCAGAGGCUUCAAGGUCUGGGGCAGCGCCCCCUGCGUCUCCACCCGGGCAGCCGCCCUGUGGGAAGAGGACAGAGCCGAGUCGCGGCUUGCUCAGACUCCUAGUCUCGGUCGCCGCCCUCUCCGUCGCGACUCAGGGAAAAGGAGGGAACGCAGAGGGCAAAGCGGUGCCCCGGCGGAUGCGCCCCCCGCCGCCUCUCAGGCUGCGCCGCCUCGCGGGGAUGAAGCACUGGCCGUGAAGAUGGAGGUGACCUGUCUUCUACUUCUGGCGCUUAUCCCCUUCCACUGUCGGGGACAAGGAGUCUAUGCUCCAGCCCAGGCCCAGAUUGUGCAUGCGGGGCAGGCCUGUGUGGUGAAGGAGGAUAACAUCAGCGAGCGGGUCUACACCAUCCGGGAGAGCGACACCCUGGUGCUGCAGUGCCUGGUCACGGGACACCCUCGGCCCCAGGUGCGGUGGACCAAAACUGCCGGCAGCGCAUCGGACAAGUUCCAGGAGACGUCGGUCUUCAAUGAGACUCUGCGGAUCGAGCGCAUCGCACGCACGCAGGGAGGUCGCUACUACUGCAAGGCGGAGAACGGAGUGGGCGUGCCGGCCAUCAAGUCUAUCCGCGUGGACGUGCAGUACUUGGAUGAGCCUGUGCUAACGGUGCAUCAGACAGUGAGCGAUGUCCGAGGCAACUUCUACCAGGAGAAGACCGUGUUUCUACGCUGUACCGUCAGCUCCAACCCGCCCGCCCGCUUUAUCUGGAAGCGGGGCUCCGACACCCUGUCCCACAGCCAGGAUAAUGGGGUUGACAUCUACGAGCCUCUCUAUACUCAGGGGGAGACGAAGGUCCUGAAGCUGAAGAACCUGCGGCCCCAAGACUAUGCCAGCUACACCUGCCAGGUGUCCGUGCGCAAUGUGUGCGGCAUCCCAGACAAGGCUAUCACCUUCCAGCUCACCAACACCACGGCACCUCCAGCCUUGAAGCUGUCUGUGAACGAAACUCUGGUGGUGAACCCUGGGGAGAACGUGACAGUGCAGUGUCUGCUGACGGGCGGCGAUCCCCUCCCCCAGCUGCACUGGUCCCACGGACCUGGCCCACUGCCCCUGGGUGCUCUGGCUCAGGGUGGUACCCUCAGCAUCCCUUCAGUGCAGGCCCGGGAUUCUGGCUACUACAACUGCACAGCCACCAACAAUGUAGGCAACCCAGCUAAGAAGACCGUCAACCUGCUGGUGCGAUCCCUGAAGAACGCCACAUUCCAGAUCACCCCCGACAUGAUCAAAGAAAGCGAGAACAUUCAACUCGGUCAGGACCUGAAGCUGUCAUGCCAUGUGGAUGCGGUGCCCCAGGAGAAGGUGAACUAUCAGUGGUUUAAAAACGGCAAGCCGGCACGCACAUCCAAGCGGCUGCUGGUGACCCGAAAUGACCCCGAGUUGCCCGCUGUCACCAGCAGCCUGGAGCUCAUUGACCUGCACUUCAGUGACUACGGCACUUAUCUGUGCAUGGCUUCCUUCCCAGGGUCACCAGUGCCUGACCUCAGCAUAGAGGUCAACAUUUCCUCAGAGACAGUACCACCCACCAUCAGUGUGCCCAAGGGCCGAGCAGUGGUGACAGUGAGGGAGGGCUCUCCUGCUGAGCUCCAGUGCGAAGUUCGUGGCAAGCCCCGGCCUCCAGUGCUAUGGUCUCGGGUGGACAAGGAGGCCGCCCUUCUGCCCUCGGGGCUGGCCCUGGAGGAGACUCCGGAUGGGAAGCUGCGGCUGGAGAGUGUGAGCCGCGACAUGAGCGGCACCUACCGCUGCCAGACAGCUCGCUACAAUGGCUUCAACGUACGACCCCGGGAGGCUCAGGUGCAGCUGACAGUGCACUUUCCUCCAGAGGUGGAGCCCAGUUCCCAGGACGUGCGCCAGGCGCUGGGCCGGCCUGUGCUCCUGCGCUGCUCGCUUCUGCGUGGCAGUCCUCAGCGCAUCGCCUCGGCCGUGUGGCGCUUCAAAGGACAGCUGCUGCCCCCACCGCCUGUUCUCCCCGCCGCUGCUGUGGAGACCCCCGAUCACGCCGAGCUGCGCCUGGACGCCCUGACCCGUGACAGCAGCGGCAACUACGAGUGCAGCGUCUCCAACGACGUGGGCUCAGCCACCUGCCUCUUCCAGGUCUCCGCCAAAGCCUACAGCCCGGAGUUUUACUUCGACACCCCCAACCCCACCCGCAGCCACAAGCUGUCCAAGAAUUACUCCUAUGUGCUACAGUGGACACAGAGAGAGCCCGAUGCUGUGGACCCCGUGCUCAACUACAGACUCAGCAUCCGACAGUUGAACCAGCACAAUGCCAUGGUCAAGGCCAUCCCCGUUCGUCGUGUGGAGAAGGGACAGCUGCUGGAGUAUAUCUUGACUGACCUCCGAGUACCCCACAGCUAUGAGAUCCGCCUCACACCCUACACCACCUUUGGGGCUGGUGACAUGGCUUCCCGCAUCAUCCACUACACAGAGCGUAGCUAUCAACUUGCCCAGCCUGUCAGACAACACCUGUCACUUUGAGGAUGAGAAAAUCUGCGGCUACACCCAGGAUCUGACAGACAACUUUGACUGGACGCGGCAGAAUGCUCUUACCCAGAACCCCAAGCGCUCUCCUAAUACUGGGCCCCCUACUGACAUCAGUGGCACCCCUGAAGGCUAUUACAUGUUCAUUGAGACAUCCAGACCCAGGGAGCUGGGGGACCGUGCAAGGCUGGUGAGUCCCCUGUACAACGCCAGUGCCAAGUUCUACUGUGUCUCUUUCUUCUACCACAUGUAUGGGAAACACAUCGGCUCCCUCAACCUUCUGGUGCGGUCCAGGAACAAAGGCACUCUAGACACGCAUGCCUGGUCCCUCAGUGGCAAUAAGGGUAACGUGUGGCAGCAGGCCCAUGUACCCAUUAACCCCAGUGGGCCCUUCCAGAUUAUUUUUGAGGGGGUUCGAGGCUCGGGCUACCUGGGGGAUAUUGCCAUAGAUGAUGUCACACUGAAGAAGGGAGAGUGUCCCCGGAGGCAGAUGGAUCCCAACAAAGUGGUUGUGAUGCCAGGCAGCGGAGCCCCACGCCUGUCCAGCCUGCAACUUUGGGGAUCCAUGGCCAUCUUCCUCUUGGCGUUGCAAAGAUGAUGAGAGCUGUGUGGCCCCCACCCCGCCCUGCCCCCGGCACACCAAAGUGUCCACAUCGUACCAAAGACUGACCCCUGCCAGCCGGGGUGCCUAGGGGCGGGGCCAGCCCACCAGGGAGGGGGCCUUCAUUGGCUACAUUGAUGAGCAGAGAACUCGGACAGAGGCCAAGCCAGGCUCUGGUGGUUGUUCAACACACGCACACACUCACACUCACUCUCACCACAGAUAUAUUAAAGCACAAGUUUUUAUUCGACCUGCCAGCACCUUCUUUACUGUGGAGAUGGGACUUAUGUGAAUGGCGUCCACCACCUCCAGGGACCUUGGUGCGACACGGGACUCAUCUUGUCUGCACACUGCGCUGUGUCUGUCUGACCUUGCCUUGUCCCCUGACUCAAGGCCGAACUCCAGCCCAGAGGCUUGCCAGAAGGGAGCCGGAUGUGGGCAGAAUAUCAGACUUGGGCUGCCUGGAUGGAGGUCACAGGGUGCAGAGGCAGGCCAGUCGGGACUCCGUGAGCUCUCCGACUGCCCCUUGAUCAGAGGCUGACAAGGAAGGGGCACCUGCUGCAGAGUGGACACAUUGCUCAACUCAGAUCCCCCGACCUGUUCCUAGGACUCCCUCUUGCCCUCCCCACUGUACCCACUUGGGAGGGCCCGCAGCACAGGGCUUAGGGUAUGUGCAGUAUGAGGACUCUCUCCCACCUUCUACCUGACUCUGAUCAGCCACUAGAUGCCACUCCAGAGAGUCCCAGCUUGGGACUUCCAGGAACAGGGGUCGCUGAUGUGUGAGGAGUGGUGUCCAUAUUAUAUCCCCAGGUGAGCGUUGGCAUUGGGGAGCACAGAGCCUGGCCUCUGUGACCCCAUGUCCCCACAGAGAACAUGAAGUCACAGUGGAGUGGAUCCCCUGUUUCUUAGGUAUUUGAUCAGAGAGUUCUGGAAGAGUGGACUGGGGAGGAUAAGACACUGUCUAGUCAGCCCUGUGGAGUACAGGGGUGAAGGAGGGAGAUGGAUGGAGGUGGUUGCGUCUCUUUGUUCCCUGGGAGCUGAGAAGAGGUUCUUGUCCUUGGAACUGUUAGGAUAGGGUCUAGAACUUUCCUCUUUGGGUCCCUUUACCCACUACCUAGCUUCCACAGGAGAGCAGAAUCCUAAUCUCUGUGUGUCCAUGUUUGAGUGUGUCUGUAUGUGCAUCUCUGCAGGUGUGAGAGCAUGUGUGCCCAUCUGUGUCCAUGUACCACUGUGCGCAUCAUUGGAUGGGAGCGUGCAGGAACACGAGGUAGGGCAUAGUAAACCCUGUCUCUGUGGGUGAGUGGCAGCGGGCAAUCUUCACCUCAAUGACAUGUUUGUGGGGUGCUGGCCCUGUCUGCAGUCUCAGAUUGCCUGCUACGGCCUUUCAACCCCCUUUGGAUGACAAAGAGCUUACAGAUGACCCUAUUGAAGGCUAGCUCCUUGGCUGGAGGUGUGGCACAGGGCUCUUCCCUGUGCAUCGUGGGGGUCAGCCUCAGGGAAGAGGCUGGAACCCCAGCUUCAUCGCAGCACCCGGAGGCUCACUGAGGAUCGAGACCCUUGCUGCUUAGCCCUCAACCCCACCUGGCUUGUAUCAUCAUCACCACCACCACCAUCACCAUCUUCCUCAUCCUCAUCAUCACCACCAUCAUCACUGGCUGCUAGAAGGUCAGGCCAGGCUACAGCAGGGCAUCCUGGUACCCAAUCAGUGUGGCCGCCUUCCUGGCCCUUCAAGCCCUUUGUCCGAAGUGAGUUGCUCUGUUUGCAGAAUAAGAUUCUGUGACAUCUGCAGGGUAUUGCUCCUUAAUUAUCCCAUCUGUGCCGAGUCUACUAGCCCAACUAGACUGUGAGUCCCUCCCACUCUGAGCCCCUCCUUCAUUCUUGCUCACGAGGGACACUAGAGUAGAAACCUUGUAGAACGGAUUCUAUAAGCCAGUAGUCCCUGGCCCUGGCUAAAGAAUCAACUGAUCAGGGGUCAGCCUGAGUGUAGGGUGUGAUUUAACAUCAUGGGAACACAGCCUGGUAUUAGAAACAUUAAGAAACCUCUUAGGACAACCCAAGAGGGGAAGCCAGGGUCGUCUCAACUCCAGGGCCUCUGAGUCAGUGCUAUGUUGGACAAACAGCUCCCUCCGCUCCUCCUGGGGUUCCUGCUUCACCCUAAGCCUGCUCCCCCAUAUUGGCCCACUGUCCUGACUGCUUUAUUGUGGGGACUCCUCCUUCUGUAUCUUAGAGCUGGACACAGGAAAGGUUCAUAGUAUGUGUAGGCCCCAUGUUCCAGAACCUUCUUUGUGGUGAGAGCAGCCAUGCCUGAGGGUGUGUGGCCUGAGAUUACAAAGCUUGUUUAAGAAGCCCACCCUCGUGAGCAAGUGAGUGAGGCUGGGGUGUGCUAGUCUGUGAGAGCCCACUGUGUGCUGGGGCUGUGUGGUCCUUACGUGUGUGCAUGUACCAGAAGCAUUUGGUCGUGUGCAGGGUUGAGAGUAAGUGUAACUGUAGGGCAGGAGCCUUUUGCACAUGGACGCCUGUGAGCCUACAUUCCUGUAUGUUUGAGUGUGGGGUCCAUGUUGGGGUAGGUAGCCUGUGAACACCCCGGUUCCAGGAGACCAGGCUAAAGGGAUUGAGCGGAUCUCUACAGUGGCAGCCUCACUCUCUUUGCUGGGGAAACUGAGGGAAUUUGUGGCCUUAAAGCAGGGAUCCCAGAGUAAAGCUCUCAGGGUUCUGGGUCCUUUUACUCCUGGCCCCUACAAGUUAGUGUCUGGGAAGAGGAAGGCAUUCUUGGGACCAGGCAGUAAAGAACAGCUGAUGGGUGGUAGCCUCAGCUCGGCUGUCCUGCCCCUUGGGACCACAGUUAGUUAACCUACAUGCCUCAUUCAUCCAUGAAGACAAAGCCUGCUGCUCCUGGCACACUCCUCCCAUAAUUCCCUCUUUCCCACUCACCAUCCUUCUCCUGUUCUCUGGAAACACCUGUUCAGACUAGCGGGGCCAGAAUGAGCCUCGGAAAUGCAGGCUUUCCACUGCCCAAACGCAGAAGCUGGAACAGAGAUGGGCGGGCCUGGCUCAAUUCUUGGAAGCCUAGUGCUACAGCCCUGGGGAUGUCGUAGCACCGAUCACUGCUCCUGGGAACCUCUUACCAGAAUAGCUACAGACAGCUGAGUGGAACUGACCCUUCUCUGGGUGCUCUCCAUGUUGCCGAGGCCGGUUACAUGUGUGACAGGUGUUACUCGAAUAUUUUGAGAGAGAAACCAUCUUCCUGUCCUACUCUGGCCUCUUCUCCCAGACUGCGGACACCUCGCCCAUGGACAGUACGGUUGCCACAUGGAGACUGUUACUCUCACCACUACUGUCUGCAUAGGCUGGGCCGGGAACGGAGGCUGGCGGAGGCUGGUGUCUCAUCAUCGGGAUCCCCUCCCCAGGACCAGGAGGGCUGCAGAAGACAUGAAGUGCUCUUGGGUUUUCCUCUGAUUGGACAGCUCCAUGGGACUGGGGAGGGUUGUUUCCAGGGAAUGUCCUAGGAGUAUGGUGAAUGAACCUCCCUGUAUGGGAGAGUUCCUGCAGGCCACUGGCUGAGCUCAGAUUCUGGGUUCAUUCCGUUCUGUCAGUACUGGGCAUAUGGGUGUGUGUGUGUGUGUGUGUGUGUGUGUGUGUGUGUGUGUGUGUGUGUGUGUGUGUAUGCAGGAGGGCCACUCUUUUCUGGAGAUCUCUUCACCCUUAGCACUGGAAUGGACCUUAAAGGACAUCGAAUCUGGUGUGCCCACUGUACAGGUGUUAAAACUGAGGUUCAGAGAGAAGGCAUCUGCCUGUCCCCAUCCCUCUCCCUUCCAUGUUUGGCCUGCAUUCAUUGUCCAGGGGUCCUGAUAAAAAUUCUCUCCCUCCUAGCAACUUCCUGCCCUCCACCCACCCAGACAUCCCAUUUCCCCCCUACCCCCAAUCUCAGCCCAGUUCUGCAGGAAGGGGCCUGCUCCAGGGCAUCCCCAACCAUUACCACCCCCUACCCCAGGGAAGUCUGAUCAUCAAAUGCUUAUCCCCAGCCCAUAAGGGACAGGAAAGUAGGGACUAUUCCUGCCCUGGCGCCUCACAGACAGAGGAAAGCCAAUCCUCCCCCCACAUGCCCAGGCCCACUCGUCUGCCCUACCCACCCUGCCACCAAGCUAAAAGCACAACAGGAGACCCCCCACACACACUCAUGGGUGACACGGGGGUCUCUCACGACCCUGACGCACCCUUUUGCCUUGCUCUCUGUCUCCACCCAGCCUCUGUUUUCCACCACCCAUCUUUCGCUCUUCCACAAACCCCAAAAUGUAACCUCUAGUUGCGGACGCGGUUGUUCCAAUCAAUAAAGAUGCAGUGUUCUAGAA